RNAcentral lists this small nucleolar RNA (126 nucleotides) under Dasypus novemcinctus (nine-banded armadillo). Its description in RNAcentral is "Small nucleolar RNA SNORD22 (ENSDNOG00000036855.1)". It matches the Rfam family "Small nucleolar RNA SNORD22". From Rfam's summary of the family: U22 is a member of the C/D class of snoRNA which contain the C (UGAUGA) and D (CUGA) box motifs. U22 is encoded within the U22 snoRNA host gene (UHG) in mammals and has also been identified in Xenopus. U22 is thought to as a 2'-O-ribose methylation guide for ribosomal RNA. Lineage: Eukaryota; Metazoa; Chordata; Mammalia; Cingulata; Dasypodidae. The record is from RNAcentral.
UGCCAGUGCAGAGCAAACAUCUUAUUUUAACCCCUGUUCUGGUCCCAGAGCCAGUAAAGGUGACCCCGCUGGGGCUAACUGGGAGAGAGGAUAAGAACUUAUUCCAUAAGGAACUGUCUGGGGAAG